UAUGGUCCUUUUGUUCCAGCAGCCGCGGUAAUACGUAGGGGGCAAGCGUUAUCCGGAUUUACUGGGUGUAAAGGGAGCGUAGACGGUGUGGCAAGUCUGAUGUGAAAGGCAUGGGCUCAACCUGUGGACUGCAUUGGAAACUGUCAUACUUGAGUGCCGGAGGGGUAAGCGGAAUUCCUAGUGUAGCGGUGAAAUGCGUAGAUAUUAGGAGGAACACCAGUGGCGAAGGCGGCUUACUGGACGGUAACUGACGUUGAGGCUCGAAAGCGUGGGGAGCAAACAGG
RNAcentral lists this ribosomal RNA (284 nucleotides) under Blautia wexlerae DSM 19850. RNAcentral describes it as "partial 16S ribosomal RNA". It matches the Rfam family "Bacterial small subunit ribosomal RNA", at positions 487 to 776 of the family's 1533-position model. The record is from RNAcentral. Lineage: Bacteria; Bacillati; Bacillota; Clostridia; Lachnospirales; Lachnospiraceae.